GCCCAUCACACCGACUCUAUGAUCACUGCCAUCGUCCACAGUCACGGAGGAGAAACGAACAAGUCAACGCUGGAUGAGGAAAAUGCACAUCUCUUUGUCUCUUCUCUUCCUCCUCAUAGGUUCAACUUGGACCUUGAAGCAGGGGGAUUUCGGCAUUUUGACUGCAUGCACCUCCAACAGCAGCCUCAGGUUGCAGUGCCGUUAUGCAUUAUGUAAGGGUUCUCCGCCCUUCUCCUGUACGUUUUCGGCUUCAGACGGGUUCCUGCCGGCUAACCAAUCCAUGAAUUGCAACAUUACCAUCCCGAACCAUUUUGUGCUGUACGAACAUAAACCCGUGACUUACAACUGCACACUGACGCGAAAGGUCAGGAUGGAAGAGAAGCAAAUCACCAUCGACUACAGUAUACGAAAAG
Molecule: long non-coding RNA, 413 nt
Organism: Anarrhichthys ocellatus (wolf-eel)
Lineage: Eukaryota; Metazoa; Chordata; Actinopteri; Perciformes; Anarhichadidae
Exons: 4
Source: RefSeq, a predicted model, not a curated record